CACACCGCCCGUCACACCAUGGGAGUUGGUUCUACCCGAAGAUGGUGCGCUAACCGCAAGGAAGCAGCCAGCCACGGUAGGGUCAGCGACUGGGGUG
RNAcentral lists this ribosomal RNA (97 nucleotides) under uncultured bacterium. Its description in RNAcentral is "partial 16S ribosomal RNA". It matches the Rfam family "Bacterial small subunit ribosomal RNA", at positions 1386 to 1482 of the family's 1533-position model. The record is from RNAcentral.